RNAcentral lists this long non-coding RNA (1831 nucleotides) under Sorghum bicolor (sorghum). Its description in RNAcentral is "long non-coding RNA (SBIC_LNC002935)". The record is from RNAcentral. Lineage: Eukaryota; Viridiplantae; Streptophyta; Magnoliopsida; Poales; Poaceae.
UGAGCAUUAAGGACCGUCAACAGAUGGGCAGACUACAAAGGAGAAGUGGUAAGGUCAGAAGACAUACAGCUUGAACAGAACUGUCCUGAGGAGACCGUAGCACCGAGUCAGGUGUGGAGAGAGAAGAUAGUUAUACACAAAGAGGACGCACCGUCGGAACCACCGACUACGCCAUCCAGCAAAUCCCAGGACGACUGAGAAAACGGAGAGUCCCGUUCGGAGGACUUAAAAACACCGAACACCUUGCCAAUAGAAUUCAAGGGUCAAAGAAGACUAGUAGACGGAGGACAUAGUAAUCGCUGUGAGGGUGCUGCCGACAUUCAAAUACACCUCCGUCACCUGCUAGCUACAUCAGAAGAAAUUACGUCAAAAUCCAGCUUGGGGGAGAGCACCCCCAUUUAUCCAGCUAAGUGUUCUACUCACGUUUAUACUUUACUCAAAUAAUAAAAAGAUACAUAAUCAUAAAAACCCAAAUAAAGAUUUUGUGUUGAUUGCUUAGUUUGCUAAAUAAAUAAAUAAAUAAAGUUUGCUAUGAACCCACAUGAUAAGCUUUCACAUGGAAAUGAUGAGUAGUUGCUCUGCCAUGACUAGUUCUCAAAAUUGAAAUCUCACUCAAGUUUAGGCAUAACUGUUAUAAUUUAAACCUGCUCUAAACCUGAACUUGUGGGAAGAGUACUUGAUCUAAAGUCUAAGUUGUUAACAGAUAUGAUAUGGGAAGGCUGAGCUGCUAUUUAUCUAUUACUAGAGAUGCUAGAAUUCUAGAGAAUUUUGUCUUUGAAAAUCUUUAAAAUGUUGCAUGAUAAGUUCCUGUAUGAUGAGAGUUUAAAUUCCUACCAUAGCCAUAUAUACAUGCUUGCUAGACUCUGAGCCACACAUUUACUUUUUACUGCUUAUGAGCAUUGAGUGUGGUCAAGCUGUGUAGACCCUUAGGAGCUUGUCAUGCGGUUAAAAUCAAGAUUUACUUGCACGUUCACUCAUACAUGCUACUUCUACUCCAGAAGUACGCAUCCACAUACAUCCACUCAUUUCCAUCUCCAGAUUCACCCAAAAGUAUUCUACUCCUAAUCCGGGAGAGAAUAGCCAAAAAAUUCUCCUAUUUAUGUUUUUCCCUAUGAAAUAAAUGCUCGAGUUAUCUUGGUUACUACCACUUGCUAUAUUAUUUUAGGAGAUGAUUGCUCUAGUAAAAAAAGAGAAAAGAAAAAAGAGAGAGAGAAAGAAUACGAGGAAAUAAAAAGGGGCAAGUGCCCGGAACCUCGAAGAAAAGAAAAAAUGAGACGAGAGGUAAAAAUGGACAACUGUCCGACAGUAGAAUUAGGGAUACAAGAUACCCACCUGAGAGGAAAGAAAAAGAAAAUAUAGAGCAUCUCAUUCUCCUCAAAAAGCUUUAAAGUGCAAGAAAGGUAUGUAUCCCCUAAAAAGAAUUAGACUUUCACCAUUGUUAUCACCAUCAUCACCAUACACCAUUCACUCGCCACACAUGCACAUCUUGAUUUGACUUAUUGACUUGUUUCUCUGGAUCCAUGGUUUGACUAUGCAAUAAACGUCUUGUAAGUAUGUAUACUUUAUCUCCCACCUAUGAGCUCCAGAUAUCAAAACCUUAUUAGAGUAGGAUGAGAGAGAAGGCAAUAUCACCACUACUACAAAAAAAAAUUAGGAGACAUUUUGUUUUGGGCCACCGAGGCGGCCGGCUGGCGGCCCGCCUCGGUUAACCUGGGCUGGGCUGCCAGCCAGGCGACCGUUAUGGAUAAUUCUUUAACCGUGGCGGUCACUGUAAGCGAACCGCCAUGGUUAAUCUGUCGUUAACCGUGACUGUUGUCUUAAGGAAACCGCC